Molecule: ribosomal RNA, 492 nt
Filed under: uncultured bacterium
Lineage: Bacteria
Description: partial 16S ribosomal RNA
Rfam family: Bacterial small subunit ribosomal RNA
Source: RNAcentral
AGUGAACGCUGGCGGCAUGCUUUACACAUGCAAGUCGAACGGUAACAGGCCUUCGGGUUCUGACUAGUGGCGGACGGUGGAGUAAUGCAUCGGAACGUGCCCGGAGGUGGUGUUUAACGCGGCGAAAGCUGUGCUAAUACCGCCUGUUAUCGGAGGCGGAAAGCGGGGGACCGGACAGCAAUUUUUGACCUCGCGCCUUUGAAUCGGCCGAUGUCGGAUUAGGUAGUUGGCGGGGUAAAGGCCUACCAAGCCGACGAUCCGUAGCUGGUCUGAGAGGACGACCAGCCACACUGGGACUGAGACACGGCCCAGACUCCUACGGGAGGCAGCAGUGGGGAAUUUUGGACAAUGGGCGCAAGCCUGAUCCAGCAAUGCCGCGUGCGGGAAGAAGGCCUUCGGGUUGUAAAGCGCUUUUGUACGGAACGAAAAGGAUCUGGCUAAUACCUGGGGGUGAUGACGGUACCGAAAGAAUAAGCACCGGCUAACUACGUG